AAAGCAAUUACCAGGAGUUGCUUUGUCCAAUUAUAUAUCAAUAAAUCUGAAAAUUUCAUUAACACCAUCUACUGAGCUGUGGAAGAGGAAUAAAUUCCUUUGAUGGAGAGCGCCCACACUGAAGUCAAGAAGACCUGAAUUCAAAUGCAACUUAGAUACAUACUGCCUGUGUGAGCAGAGGUGAGUCAUUUAAUUUAAUUUAAUGUUUGCCUUAAUGCACUG
Molecule: long non-coding RNA, 222 nt
Filed under: Monodelphis domestica (gray short-tailed opossum)
Lineage: Eukaryota; Metazoa; Chordata; Mammalia; Didelphimorphia; Didelphidae
Description: lncRNA (ENSMODG00000044130.1)
Source: RNAcentral